AGUGAACGCUGGCGGUCUGCCUAACACAUGCAAGUCGAACGGCAGCACAGUAAGAGCUUGCUCUUACGGGUGGCGAGUGGCGGACGGGUGAGGAAUACAUCGGAAUCUACUUUUUCGUGGGGGAUAACGUAGGGAAACUUACGCUAAUACCGCAUACGACCUACGGGUGAAAGCAGGGGAUCUUCGGACCUUGCGCGAUUGAAUGAGCCGAUGUCGGAUUAGCUAGUUGGCGGGGUAAAGGCCCACCAAGGCGACGAUCCGUAGCUGGUCUGAGAGGAUGAUCAGCCACACUGGAACUGAGACACGGUCCAGACUCCUACGGGAGGCAGCAGUGGGGAAUAUUGGACAAUGGGCGCAAGCCUGAUCCAGCCAUACCGCGUGGGUGAAGAAGGCCUUCGGGUUGUAAAGCCCUUUUGUUGGGAAAGAAAAGCAGCAGGUUAAUACCCCGCUGUUCUGACGGUACCCAAGGAAUAAGCACCGGCUAACUUCGUG
This 492-nucleotide ribosomal RNA is filed under the name uncultured bacterium. RNAcentral describes it as "partial 16S ribosomal RNA". It matches the Rfam family "Bacterial small subunit ribosomal RNA", at positions 29 to 507 of the family's 1533-position model. The record is from RNAcentral.